RNAcentral lists this long non-coding RNA (797 nucleotides) under Hordeum vulgare. RNAcentral's name for it is "long non-coding RNA (HVUL_LNC002982)". Lineage: Eukaryota; Viridiplantae; Streptophyta; Magnoliopsida; Poales; Poaceae. The record is from RNAcentral.
CCCCCUCCGCAGCUCCGGCAUACAUCUUCGACGGCCACAACUCCCUCCCUGGCCACCUUCCUCGUCUCCAAUCGCCAGGCCCGUCCCCGUCGGCCACAUCUCCUGGCCGUAUGCCUUCCUCCUCUCCAAUCGAGAGGUCCAGGUUCGACCCCGUUGGCCUCUUCUCGAAUUGAUCCUCUGCUCCACCGCUCCGCUCCUCUCGACCCUGUGCUCCGCUCCGUCGCGUCAACACACUCCGUCGCCUUCGACACGUCAGCACACUCAGCUGGAGGACGCCCCUUAGCAGCAGACUCACAGUCCAGCUCUAUCUCCGCCGCCUGAGCCAUCUUCGUUGUGUCAGCACACUCCGUCGCCUCCGCCGCAUCAGCAGAUUCAGCCGGAGGAGGCCCCUCAGUACAACCUGCCUCGUCAGCUGACUCCGCCGCCUCAGCUCUGGCGAAAGAGAUCCACCGCCGCUCCGGUGGCUAGUAGUACGACGUCGAAGAAAUCCAGAGCACGUAGGGUCAAGAAGGCUCCUGCCAAGUUACCAUACGACCUGGCUGAGGAGGAAAACAAAGAGGUCGUGUAUGACGAAAUGAAACGCCAUUUUGCACCGAAGCGUUCAAAUCCAAAAUAGAUUCAGAAAAAGUGAGGCGUUGUAUGAGAAAUCUUACGAAACCACCGCCGCGACUGCUAUGAGACAAUGACCGCUCUAUUGUAAAGUCAUAUAGAGAUCCAGAGCAGCGGUCGGCAAAUAGCAGUAGUGCAAAGGGGAAAACAAUUCCCUAGCUCGACGAACAGAAAAUCCAAUCGUGCCC